CAGCCUUGAGCGUGGGAGACCACAAGAGUUGGUCCGCAGCCACCGGUCCCGCUCACCUGAACGCGGCCCCGCUCACUCCGGGAUGCGCUGGCAGCCCCGCCGCACGCACAGACUGCGCCGCGAGCGCCCGGCUCCCUCCCGAGCUCCUCCCGGAGAUGCCGCACCUGCCCGCGUCCCCAUCCAUGCUGCGAUGUCCCCUGCGCUCGGGACACGCUCUGCCCCUCGCUGCCCAGCCCGCCCGGGAUGUGUCGCUGCACCUGGGGCUGGCGGUGCCCGUGUCCCCUGCGAGGGACAGCGAGCGGGACGGGACGCCCGGAAUAGCAGCGGCAGACACCCCCAUAGCCACGCACACCGCGUUUGAGUUUUCCACAAGAUGUCCCAGAGCGAGAAGAGCAUCCCAGCCGGAGAAAUCCCUCCUCCAGGAGAGAUCGUAAAAUUCUUUCCUAAAAUUAAUCAAACUCUGGAGUACUUUCAAGCCCCAUAGCCAUGCACACCGUGUUUAAGCUUUCCAAAAAAUGUCCCAGAGCAAGAAGAGCAUCCCAGCAGGAGAAAUUCCUCCUCCAGGAGAGAUCUAAAAGUCUUUCCUCACCUUAAUGUUUCUAUAUUUUAAUUUCAACCUCACCCAUAUCAAUGCACACUAUAUUAUAGUGUGUAUAAACUAUAUAUAGUAUUAUAUAAACUAUAUUAAGUUUUCCGAAAGAUGUCUCAGACCAAGAAGAGCAUCUCAGCAGGAGAAGAAAGAUCCAAGCAAACUUAAAAAGUCUUUCCCAACCUUAAUGUUUCUAUAUUUUACUUUCAACCUCCCCCAUAUCAAUGUACACUAUAUUAUACUGCAUAUAAACUAUAUAUACUAUUAUAUAAACUAUAUAUACUAUUAUACAAACUGUAUUAAGUUUUCCACAAGAUGUCCCAGAGCAAGAAGAGCAUCCCAGCAGAAGAAAUCCCUGCUCCAGGAGAGAUCCAAGCAAUUUUAAUAAAUUUUCCCUACCUUAAUUAUUCUCUGUAUUAUUUUCCAAACCCCCACACCCACGUAGCCAACAUUUAGGUGCUCCAAAGGAUGUCAGACAAUUGGGAGAUGUAAAGAAAGACCCAGCAGAAGAAAUAA
Long non-coding RNA from Zonotrichia leucophrys gambelii, 1105 nucleotides. RefSeq lists it as uncharacterized. Lineage: Eukaryota; Metazoa; Chordata; Aves; Passeriformes; Passerellidae. The transcript has 3 exons. The record is from RefSeq and is a predicted model, not a curated record.